RNAcentral lists this long non-coding RNA (225 nucleotides) under Elaeis guineensis (African oil palm). Its description in RNAcentral is "long non-coding RNA (EGUI_LNC082843)". The record is from RNAcentral. Lineage: Eukaryota; Viridiplantae; Streptophyta; Magnoliopsida; Arecales; Arecaceae.
AGACGAUCGCCUUGAGGGCGUUAAGUCCGGGUCUUCCAAGUAUGGCGUUGUAGGCCGAAGGCACUUGGACGACCGCAAAAGUCAAAUGAACCGUGCUUUGUCGUGGUUCGGUGCCGACCGUCACGGGCAGGGUAACUUCACCUUCCGUUGAGACGGCGUCCCCGGCAAAGCCUAUCAAGGGCGUAGAGACCCUCUUGAGUCGAUCGGUAGACAGUCGCAUCCGGG